AGGGACAGAGAGGAUUUUUCCAAGAGAGUGUCUUGUUUCGUCACCAGGCGCCAUGCUGGAGUGCAGUGGCAUGAUCUUGGCUCACUGCAACCUCUGCCUCCCAGGUUCAAGCAAUUCUUCUGCCUC
This is a long non-coding RNA of Cebus imitator (Panamanian white-faced capuchin), 126 nucleotides long. RefSeq lists it as uncharacterized. The transcript has 4 exons. The record is from RefSeq and is a predicted model, not a curated record. NCBI's taxonomy places the organism in Eukaryota, Metazoa, Chordata, Mammalia, Primates, Cebidae.